AGAUAUGUGAUAAAUCGUCUACAGAGAUAUCACAAGACGGUUAGACGUGGAGAUAUUUGCAAGAUAAAUUAGAGAAUGUGGAGAAGUUCUUGAAGAUGCAACAACAACAAGAGGGACUAUGCCAAGUUCAACAAGAGCAAGGAUUUCAACCAAGUCCUUAAUUCACAAACCAAGGAAAAUCUAAUAUUCAACCACCUCCUCAAGAUAAUGAAUUUAAUUCCAUGUUGAAACAAGUUUUAGAAGGCCAAACUAAGGAUUAUAUGGAUUUUG
Molecule: long non-coding RNA, 270 nt
Filed under: Capsella rubella
Lineage: Eukaryota; Viridiplantae; Streptophyta; Magnoliopsida; Brassicales; Brassicaceae
Description: long non-coding RNA (CRUB_LNC000577)
Source: RNAcentral